AAAAGAAACUAACUAGGAUUCCCUCAGUAACUGCGAGUGAAGCGGGAAAAGCUCAAAUUUAAAAUCGGACGAGCCUAACCGGCCGUACCGAGUUGUAGUCUAUAGAGGCGGUGUUCUGCAUCGGACCGUGUACAAGUCCCUUGGAAUAGGGCAUCAUAGAGGGUGAGAAUCCCGUCCAUGACACGGAAUCGCCGGUGCUUUGAGAGCCGUCUUCAAAGAGUCGAGUUGUUUGGGAACGCAACUCAAAUUGGGUGGUAAGCUCCAUCUAAAGCUAAAUACAGGCGAGAGACCGAUAGCGAACAAGUACCGUGAGGGAAAGAUGAAAAGCACUUUGGAAAGAGAGUUAAACAGUACGUGAAAUUGCUGAAAGGGAAACGCUUGAAGUCAGUCGCGUUGGCGAAAGGGGCUCAGCCAGGCCUUGGCUUGGUUUAUUCCCCGGUCAACGGGUCAGCAUCGAUUUUAACCGUCGGAAAAGGGCUGGAGGAAGGUGACACCUUGGUGUUUUAUAGCCUUCAGUCGAAUGCGACGGUUGGGAUCGAGGAAGUAUUUGAAAAUAAAAUCUAAAUGGCGGCGGGGCUUGCAUCCGCUCGCCUUUGAUGCUGGCUGAAUGGCUUUAAACGACCCGUCUUGAAACACGGACCAAGGAGUCUAACAUGCCUG
RNAcentral lists this ribosomal RNA (660 nucleotides) under Polyporales sp. 'Kusaghizi'. RNAcentral describes it as "eukaryotic LSU rRNA". It matches the Rfam family "Eukaryotic large subunit ribosomal RNA", at positions 57 to 686 of the family's 3401-position model. Lineage: Eukaryota; Fungi; Basidiomycota; Agaricomycetes; Polyporales. The record is from RNAcentral.